GUGUCAGCAGCCGCGGUAAUACAGGGGGGGCAAGCGUUGUUCGGAAUUACUGGGCGUAAAGGGCUCGUAGGCGGCCGAUUAAGUCCGACGUGAAAUCCCCAAGCUUAACUUGGGAACUGCGUCGGAUACUGAUUGGCUUGAAUCCGGGAGAGGGAUGCGGAAUUCCAGGUGUAGCGGUGAAAUGCGUAGAUAUCUGGAGGAACACCGGUGGCGAAGGCGGCAUCCUGGACCGGCAUUGACGCUGAUGAGCGAAAGCCAGGGGAGCAAACGGGAUUAGAUACCCCCGUAGUCC
RNAcentral lists this ribosomal RNA (292 nucleotides) under uncultured bacterium. RNAcentral's name for it is "partial 16S ribosomal RNA". It matches the Rfam family "Bacterial small subunit ribosomal RNA", at positions 505 to 796 of the family's 1533-position model. The record is from RNAcentral.